Molecule: ribosomal RNA, 497 nt
Filed under: uncultured bacterium
Lineage: Bacteria
Description: partial 16S ribosomal RNA
Rfam family: Bacterial small subunit ribosomal RNA
Source: RNAcentral
GAUGAACGCUGGCGGCGUGCCUAAUACAUGCAAGUCGAGCGAACAGACGAGGAGCUUGCUCCUCUGACGUUAGCGGCGGACGGGUGAGUAACACGUGGAUAACCUACCUAUAAGACUGGGAUAACUUCGGGAAACCGGAGCUAAUACCGGAUAAUAUAUUGAACCGCAUGGUUCAAUAGUGAAAGACGGUUUUGCUGCCACUUAUAGAUGGAUCCGCGCCGCAUUAGCUAGUUGGUAAGGUAACGGCUUACCAAGGCAACGAUGCGUAGCCGACCUGAGAGGGUGAUCGGCCACACUGGAACUGAGACACGGUCCAGACUCCUACGGGAGGCAGCAGUAGGGAAUCUUCCGCAAUGGGCGAAAGCCUGACGGAGCAACGCCGCGUGAGUGAUGAAGGUCUUCGGAUCGUAAAACUCUGUUAUUGGGGAAGAACAAAUGUGUAAGUAACUAUGCACGUCUUGACGGUACCUAAUCAGAAAGCCACGGCUAACUACGUG